GAUGAACGCUAGCUACAGGCUUAACACAUGCAAGUCGAGGGGAAACGACAUCGCAAGCUUGCUUUUGAUGGGCGUCGACCGGCGCACGGGUGAGUAACGCGUAUCCAACCUGCCCAUCACUUGGGAAUAACCUUGCGAAAGUAAGACUAAUACCCAAUGACAUCCCACGAAGACAUCUGAAUGGGAUUAAAGAUUUAUCGGUGAUGGAUGGUGAUGCGUCUGAUUAGCUUGUUGGCGGGGUAACGGCCCACCAAGGCAACGAUCAGUAGGUGUUCUGAGAGGAAGGUCCCCCACAUUGGAACUGAGACACGGUCCAAACUCCUACGGGAGGCAGCAGUGAGGAAGAGUAGUCAAUGGGCGAGAGCCUGAACCAGCCAAGUAGCGUGCAGGAUGACGGCCCUAUGGGUUGUAAACUGCUUUUAUAAGGGAAUAAAGUGGGUCUCGUGAGACUUUUUGAAUGUACCUAAUGAAUAAGGACCGGCUAAUUCCGUG
This 492-nucleotide ribosomal RNA is filed under the name uncultured bacterium. RNAcentral's name for it is "partial 16S ribosomal RNA". It matches the Rfam family "Bacterial small subunit ribosomal RNA", at positions 28 to 507 of the family's 1533-position model. The record is from RNAcentral.